AAGUCGUAACAAGGUUUCCGUAGGUGAACCUGCGGAAGGAUCAUUACAGUUUUCUGCGCUUAACUGCGCGAAAUACACAGUGUUUCUACAUUCAAUUAUCUCCAGUGGGCGUAAGCACGCUGGAGGAAACCCAAAUAAAUAUUUUAAUAAUUAGUCAAGAUAAUUUUAAUAUCAAAACUUUCAACAACGGAUCUCUUGGUUCUG
RNAcentral lists this unclassified non-coding RNA (204 nucleotides) under fungal sp. Its description in RNAcentral is "partial internal transcribed spacer region". The stretch from base 1 to 46 matches the Rfam family "Eukaryotic small subunit ribosomal RNA", at positions 1786 to 1831 of the family's 1831-position model. Lineage: Eukaryota; Fungi. The record is from RNAcentral.